Molecule: long non-coding RNA, 228 nt
Filed under: Salvia miltiorrhiza (redroot sage)
Lineage: Eukaryota; Viridiplantae; Streptophyta; Magnoliopsida; Lamiales; Lamiaceae
Description: long non-coding RNA (SMIL_LNC009585)
Source: RNAcentral
GGGUGAGAUGAAUGAUUACAUAAACAUUGUUCAAUCUUAAACCUAAUUUCUUCUUAAGUCACUUAAUUCAAUAUUAUCACUCAUUUUAUACAUGACGGGACCCUCUAUAUAUCUAUUAAAAAUACAAUAUUCAUUAACUUUUUUAUUAAAACUCGUGUCCAGCCAAAAUAGUAUAUAUGUUAAAAAGAUAAUUAUGAAAGCUAAUUGGAUUAGUGAAUCUAAAUUAAU